RNAcentral lists this long non-coding RNA (342 nucleotides) under Sorghum bicolor (sorghum). RNAcentral describes it as "long non-coding RNA (SBIC_LNC005305)". Lineage: Eukaryota; Viridiplantae; Streptophyta; Magnoliopsida; Poales; Poaceae. The record is from RNAcentral.
CCGCCAUGACAACAUCCUGGUGAUCUUCGACAAUGAAGCCCAAACCUCCGCUCAGUGUCUGUUGGACAAAGGCGCCAUCAGUGUUUAUCUUCUGUUGUCCUGAUGGUGGCGGUUUCCAUUUCUGAGCCGUCUUUGUUCUCUCUUCUCGUGAUUUGGUAUCCCUGUAUCAUCGAGCAGAUUGAUCACGCACUAGCAACUUCUUCGCAGGUCCCUUCUCCCCUUGAUUCAGUUUGUUGCGGACGAUCAUGUAAUACCCGAUUUUAACCGGAUAAAAUCAGAUAUGUACCAUAUGUGAGUCUUAAGAGCAUCUCCAACAGUUGGCCAUUUGUACUUUGCCAUUUG